RNAcentral lists this ribosomal RNA (556 nucleotides) under Neurospora tetraspora. Its description in RNAcentral is "eukaryotic LSU rRNA". The stretch from base 198 to 351 matches the Rfam family "5.8S ribosomal RNA". The record is from RNAcentral. Lineage: Eukaryota; Fungi; Ascomycota; Sordariomycetes; Sordariales; Sordariaceae.
GGAUCAUUACAGAGUUGCAAAACUCCCACAAACCAUCGCGAAUCUUACCCGUACGGUUGCCUCGGCGCUGGCGGUCCGGAAGGCCCUCGGGCCCCCGGAUCCUCGGGUCUCCCGCUCGCGGGAGGCUGCCCGCCGGAGUGCCGAAACCAAACUCUUGAUAUUUUAUGUCUCUCUGAGUAAACUUUUAAAUAAGUCAAAACUUUCAACAACGGAUCUCUUGGUUCUGGCAUCGAUGAAGAACGCAGCGAAAUGCGAUAAGUAAUGUGAAUUGCAGAAUUCAGUGAAUCAUCGAAUCUUUGAACGCACAUUGCGCUCGCCAGUAUUCUGGCGAGCAUGCCUGUUCGAGCGUCAUUUCAACCAUCAAGCUCUGCUUGCGUUGGGGAUCCGCGGCUGCCCGCGGUCCCUCAAAAACAGUGGCGGGCUCGCUAGUCACACCGAGCGUAGUAACUCUACAUCGCUAUGGUCGUGCGGCGGGUUCUUGCCGUAAAACCCCCCAAUUUCUAAGGUUGACCUCGGAUCAGGUAGGAAUACCCGCUGAACUUAAGCAUAUCAAUAG